Molecule: long non-coding RNA, 1399 nt
Filed under: Homo sapiens (human)
Lineage: Eukaryota; Metazoa; Chordata; Mammalia; Primates; Hominidae
Description: HSALNT0054497
Source: RNAcentral
CCACACAGGCGCACCCACAGGCACCAGAGCUGCCCCUCAGCCAGGCUCCGGAAGCCUCCUCCUCCCUCUUGUGUCUGAGCACUGGGGAGGGGGCUAGGAACCGAGUCCAGGAGGCCUCAGGAAAAGAAGGGGAAGGGACCGAGCCGGACUCCACAGCAUUUGCUUGGCACCCGCUGUGUACGCAGAGUGCCGGAGAAGUUGGGCGUUGAUGGGGGAGACUCGGGCAGAGGACGCGCACCCUCCCUGGCCCACUCACAGGCCCCUGGAGGGGCCCCCACAACAGCCCCCCAGCCACCCCCAACCUGGCCUCCAGCAUCUCUCUCUGCCGAGUCCUUGCCUCUCCCCCGAGGAGAGCGGAGCCUCCAAUCAGGGCCUGGGAAAGCAAUUUUUCAAUCUCCAACUGCAAACACUAAUACCGCUGAAGCUAAUUUUACAGAUUUCCACUUCGAGGCCUUGCCUUUGUCCCAGAAUCCCUCAGCCCGGGAGAUUAGCAGUUUAGAGACUGGAAAAAAUAAGGGAGACGUCAAAGCCGCCAGGACCAGUCAAAGUAAUAUGCCUGCGACCGGCACAUGGACUUUUAUUUCUUCUCCCUCCACGCUCCAGAGCUGCUCCUGCGGCGUGGAGAGAUAAAUAUUUUAAAUAGCGACACUUUGGCGAUGCACGGUUAUGCAAGACAAGGAAUAAUUAGAAAAUAAAUUACUUUUUUUAAACACAGCGUUACAAACAUCGGGUGCAUCAGAUUACUGUUCUCUGCAGGCCAGGGCCACACGGCUCAGGGAGGCCAGCGCAACAAGGACCUCAGGGAGCAAGCACACACCAGCCUGUCCCCACAGCCCCCAGAUGGUGACACCCCUCCCGCCUGCUCUGGGAGGCUCCCAGAAUCGAGCUGAAGACCACACUUGGCAGCUUCCAGAAGAUCUCAGCGAUGGAAAGGCUUCCUCCGGCGUCUCACCAGCAGUAGCGCAGACUAAAAAUAGUUUAAUCUCCUUGAAAGCAAAAGGAGCAAUCAGCAAAACAGACACUUGGGCCCACAUGCUCCCCCCAUUCCUCUCCUCGUUCUGCCCCCAUCCAUCCAAGCUGUCCCCAGCUAUGCAUUGUCAACUUCUACCCAUCCCAGGAUAGUGCCCCACAGCCUCUGAGGAGGGCAGCUAUUGCCCAUCGUCCAGGACUCCUCAUGUCUGCAGCCCUACAUAUACACAGCAUGUGUCCUUUAAACCUUGUGACACCCCAGAAGGGAGGCAAGACAGGAAAUGUUAGCCCUGUUUUACAGAUGAAGAAACUGAGGCAUAGAGAAGUGGAGUCAUUUGCCUGAGGCUAGCAAUGGUAGACAAGGGCUGUGUGCAAAUGGAGGGGCUCAGCCUCUGCAGAAAGGAGGUAGGUAGCUUUUAAUUAGCACCUA